Molecule: long non-coding RNA, 283 nt
Organism: Athene cunicularia (burrowing owl)
Lineage: Eukaryota; Metazoa; Chordata; Aves; Strigiformes; Strigidae
Exons: 3
Source: RefSeq, a predicted model, not a curated record
AAAACAAGGUGGAAUUGGACUGGGUACUGCAUUCUUUUUUACUUGUGUAUAAUAGUCUGGCCAACAUCCUUACCUACAGCACAGCAUAUCUUGUCUUCAUUCUCUCCUACAAAUUCUGCAUCUGUUUUUUUUGCCUCUUGAAGCCUGCUCUGUUCUAUGUCUAACUAAGAUCUUUCCUCCUUCCCCUUAUCCCCAACGUGCAUACACAAUACUGCUGCAGCAGAGAAGUUACUUGGCAAAGUCCUUGGUGGGAGUGAAGUUCUCAAGUUUGAAGGACUUUGUU